UACGUAGGGGGCGAGCGUUGUCCGGAUUCAUUGGGCGUAAAGCGCGCGUAGGCGGCCGGGCAAGUCGGCCGUGAAAUCUCCCAGCUUAACUGGGAGGGGUCGGGCGAGACUGCCCCGCUAGAGGCGGGUAGAGGGCAGUGGAAUUCCGGGUGUAGUGGUGGAAUGCGUAGAGAUCCGGAGGAACACCAGUGGCGAAGGCGGCGCCCUGGACCAGCACUGACACUGAGGCACGAAGGCGUGGGGAGCGAACGGG
RNAcentral lists this ribosomal RNA (253 nucleotides) under uncultured bacterium. RNAcentral describes it as "partial 16S ribosomal RNA". It matches the Rfam family "Bacterial small subunit ribosomal RNA", at positions 524 to 776 of the family's 1533-position model. The record is from RNAcentral.